CCUUAAUGUAUUCUCAGAUUUGGCGUUAUUCAAUAUAUUCUCUAGAUCAUAUCAGUGGUCAAACCUACCGAUGGGGAUCUUUCCAUGUCUUGAUUUGGACAAUGGUUGUUUUAUUUCGUUGGACACUUAAAUUCGUGGAUAAAGUCAUCCACGAAAACCACGAAAAUUGGUACCCCACGAAUAAAAGUACUUUCACAGUACUU
This 203-nucleotide long non-coding RNA is filed under the name Mytilus galloprovincialis (Mediterranean mussel). Lineage: Eukaryota; Metazoa; Mollusca; Bivalvia; Mytilida; Mytilidae. The record is from RNAcentral.